AGUGAACGCUGGCGGUAGGCCUAACACAUGCAAGUCGAACGGCAGCACAGUAAGAGCUUGCUCUUACGGGUGGCGAGUGGCGGACGGGUGAGGAAUACAUCGGAAUCUACUUUUUCGUGGGGGAUAACGUAGGGAAACUUACGCUAAUACCGCAUACGACCUACGUGUGAAAGCAGGGGAUCUUCGGACCUUGCGCGAUUGAAUGAGCCGAUGUCGGAUUAGCUAGUUGGCGGGGUAAAGGCCCACCAAGCCGACGAUCCGUAGCUGGUCUGAGAGGAUGAUCAGCCACACUGGAACUGAGACACGGUCCAGACUCCUACGGGAGGCAGCAGUGGGGAAUAUUGGACAAUGGGCGCAAGCCUGAUCCAGCCAUACCGCGUGGGUGAAGAAGGCCUUCGGGUUGUAAAGCCCUUUUGUUGGGAAAGAAAAGCAGCAGGUUAAUACCCCGCUGUUCUGACGGUACCCAAAGAAUAAGCACCGGCUAACUUCGUG
This 492-nucleotide ribosomal RNA is filed under the name uncultured bacterium. RNAcentral's name for it is "partial 16S ribosomal RNA". It matches the Rfam family "Bacterial small subunit ribosomal RNA", at positions 29 to 507 of the family's 1533-position model. The record is from RNAcentral.